This 572-nucleotide ribosomal RNA is filed under the name Clostridioides difficile. RNAcentral's name for it is "partial 23S ribosomal RNA". It matches the Rfam family "Bacterial large subunit ribosomal RNA", at positions 1112 to 1689 of the family's 2925-position model. The record is from RNAcentral. Lineage: Bacteria; Bacillati; Bacillota; Clostridia; Peptostreptococcales; Peptostreptococcaceae.
GCAGCCACUCAUUCAAAGAGUGCGUAAUAGCUCACUGGUCGAGUGAUCCUGCGCCGAAGAUUUCCGGGGCUAAAACUUACUACCGAAGCUACGGCAUCAGUAAUGAUGGGUAGGGGAGCUUCCCAUACGGGUUGAAGCAUGACCGUAAGGACAUGUGGACAGUAUGGGAGUGAGAAUGUUGGCAUGAGUAGCGAGAUGUGGGUGAGAAUCCCACAGGCCGUAAACCCAAGGUUUCCAGGGGAAGGUUCGUCCGCCCUGGGUUAGUCGGGACCUAAGCUGAGGCCGAAAGGCGUAGGUGAUGGACAACAGGUUGAUAUUCCUGUACUACCGAUAACCGUUUGAGAGAAGGGAUGACACAGUAGGAUAAGCUAAGCACACUGUUGGUUAUGUGUGCCCAAGCAUUGAGGCAGUCAAAGUAGGCAAAUCCGCUUUGAUAAUGCUAGGAUGUGAUGGGGAGCGAAAUUUAGUAGCGAAGUAGCUGAUUUCACACUGUCAAGAAAAGUCUCUAUCGAGGUUAAAGGUACCCGUACCGCAAACCGACACAGGUGGGUGAGGAGAGUAUCCUAAGGCCA